AACGCGAAGAACCUUACCAAGGCUUGACAUAUACGAGAACGGGCCAGAAAUGGUCAACUCUUUGGACACUCGUAAACAGGUGGUGCAUGGUUGUCGUCAGCUCGUGUCGUGAGAUGUUGGGUUAAGUCCCGCAACGAGCGCAACCCUCGUUCUAUGUUGCCAGCACGUAAUGGUGGGAACUCAUGGGAUACUGCCGGGGUCAACUCGGAGGAAGGUGGGGAUGACGUCAAAUCAUCAUGCCCCUUAUGUCUUGGGCUUCACGCAUGCUACAAUGGCCGGUACAAAGGGCUGCAAUACCGUAAGGUGGAGCGAAUCCCAAAAAGCCGGUCCCAGUUCGGAUUGAGGUCUGCAACUCGACCUCAUGAAGUCGGAGUCGCUAGUAAUCGCAGAUCAGCAACGCUGCGGUGAAUACGUUCCCGGGCCUUGUACACACCG
This 435-nucleotide ribosomal RNA is filed under the name uncultured bacterium. RNAcentral's name for it is "bacterial SSU rRNA". It matches the Rfam family "Bacterial small subunit ribosomal RNA", at positions 958 to 1392 of the family's 1533-position model. The record is from RNAcentral.